Long non-coding RNA from Sorghum bicolor (sorghum), 992 nucleotides. RefSeq lists it as uncharacterized. The record is from RefSeq and is a predicted model, not a curated record. The transcript is spliced from 3 exons. Lineage: Eukaryota; Viridiplantae; Streptophyta; Magnoliopsida; Poales; Poaceae.
ACUGCAGCAGCCCUUACUCUCUCUCCCCACGGCGCACUUAGUUCCUCCACCAAGCAGAGGGCCAGCGCGCCUCCUCUCCCUCCCUAGCUGGCUGCGUGGAUCUGUCGCAAAUCCAGUGGAAGAGUGUUGAAUCCAUCCAGUUUUGUUUAUUGCCCCUGUAGUACCAUCCCAUUGUGAACUAAGGGAAGGAUUCUUAUUCAAGACGCAUCAUAUCAAUGGAACAACAAGCUGAUUCUCUUAAUACUGCCAUCCCUACUGCAUUUGCCCCUGCAGUACCAUCCCAUACCAUCAAUGCUUUUUCCAUCAAUGAUAUUCCACACCCGGUUGAUCACACAGGAGGCAGAGAAAUCAUUGUUUGCGCCCUUGCUGCUCCUGACAAUCCAGUUCCUGGUCCAUUUAGUGCAAAGCGCAAACGUAGAACGUUCUGGACAGCAUGUCCAAGUUGCAAGAAAAAGAACAAACAUUCGAUAGAGUGCCUUGGUUGCAACAUUCCAUGCCUUCAAUGCAGUGAAACAUUCAAGGCCAUUGAAGUAUCAAGACCUCGAAACCAACAUGCAACCACUACAGAGAAUGUUCACUCUGGAGCAAUUGUUAGGUCUCCAGGAACAAUGGUGGAACCUAGCAAAAUGACACUAACUGUGGAGACAAUCACCGAGGAUGAGAUAAAGGAGCUUUUGAUGUCCAAGGGCAGGAAUAUGGUGGUAGAAGCAACAAUCAAACGGAACAAUGUGAAAAAAUAAAAGUGAGAAGCCAACCUCAAGGGAGAGAACACAAUGGCAGCACUGAAGGACCUGUGUGUUCUAUUCAGUUUCAACAUCCCAAGAAGUAAUUCCCAAACAAUGAUUCUGCUAUGAGGAGUGCUCAUCUGAAGUUUCUGAGUCGAUUUUUUUGUUACAUCCAAUAAUUUUUAUUUUAUAACAGUGUUGUUGUGGGGGGGGGUGUAUAAAUGGAUCUAAUACCCUCGACUAUGCUUUUGCAUUUUUUGGGAAAGA